This 857-nucleotide non-coding RNA is filed under the name Stictochironomus akizukii. Lineage: Eukaryota; Metazoa; Arthropoda; Insecta; Diptera; Chironomidae. The record is from RNAcentral.
UUAGUUUUAUUUUUGUUAAAAAAUUUAAUAAAAUAAAAUUUUACAUAUAAUAAUUUUAAUUUAUUUAUAAAGUUUUAAAUAAACUUUUAAGUAUAACUUUAUAUAGUUUUAAAUAGUAGUAAUUAAUAUUAUUAAUUUAAUGAAAGUUAAAUUAUAGUUAUUAUUAUAAAUUAUUGGUAAAAUUUGUGCCAGCAAUCGCGGUUAUACAAAUAAUGAGAUUAAAUUUUUUUUAAUAAAAGUUAGAAUUUAUUUUAUUAAUGUUUAUAUUAAUAAUUUAGAGAUAUAGAUUUAAAUAUAAAUUUUUAAGUGAAAUUUAAAUUUUAUGUAUUUAUUUAUAUAAUUAUUUAAAAUGUUUGAAUCUUUUAAAAUUUAAAUAUAAACUAGGAUUAGAUACCCUAUUAUUUAAAUGGUAUACAAUUUAUAAAAAAUUAAGGUAGUAUUAAUUAAUUUUUUAAAACUUAAAAAAUUUGGCGGUAUUUUAUUCUGUUUAGAGGAAUUUGUUCUGUAAUCGAUAGUCCACGAAUAUUUUACUUUUGUUAGUUAUCAAUUUAUAUAUCGUUGUCAUCAGAAUGUUUUAAAAGAAUUAAAAAUUUUCUAAAUUUUUAAUUUAAAAUAAUGUCAAAUCAAGGUAUAGUUUAUAUAAAAGUAGAAAUGAGUUACAAUAAAAAAAAUUUAUUUUAUGAAUAUUUUAAUUAAAUUUAAAAUUGAAGGUGGAUUUAAAAGUAAAUUAAUUGAUAAAAAUUAAUUGAUUUUAGUUUUAAAAUAUGCACAUAUCGCCCGUCGCUCUCGUUAUUAAUUUUUAUUAAAUGAGAUAAGUCGUAACAUAGUAGGUAUAUCGGAAGAUGUCUCUAGAAAUA